GACGAACGCUGGCGGCGCGCCUAACACAUGCAAGUCGAACGAGAGAGAGGGAGCUUGCUUCCUCAAUCGAGUGGCGAACGGGUGAGUAACGCGUGAGGAACUUGCCUCAAAGAGGGGGACAACAGUUGGAAACGACUGCUAAUACCGCAUAAGCCCACGACCCGGCAUCGGGAAGAGGGAAAAGGAGCAAUCCGCUUUGAGAUGGCCUCGCGUCCGAUUAGCUAGUUGGUGAGGUAACGGCCCACCAAGGCGACGAUCGGUAGCCGGACUGAGAGGUUGAACGGCCACAUUGGGACUGAGACACGGCCCAGACUCCUACGGGAGGCAGCAGUGGGGAAUAUUGCACAAUGGGGGAAACCCUGAUGCAGCGACGCCGCGUGGAGGAAGAAGGUCUUCGGAUUGUAAACUCCUGUUGUUGAGGAAGAUAAUGACGGUACUCAACAAGGAAGUGACGGCUAACUACGUGCCAGCAGCCGCGGUAAAACGUAGGUCACAAGCGUUGUCCGGAAUUACUGGGUGUAAAGGGAGCGCAGGCGGGCGAUCAAGUUGGAAGUGAAAUCCAUGGGCUCAACCCAUGAACUGCUUUCAAAACUGGCCGUCUUGAGUAGUGCAGAGGUAGGCGGAAUUCCCGGUGUAGCGGUGGAAUGCGUAGAUAUCGGGAGGAACACCAGUGGCGAAGGCGGCCUACUGGGCACCAACUGACGCUGAGGCUCGAAAGUGUGGGUAGCAAACA
RNAcentral lists this ribosomal RNA (733 nucleotides) under uncultured bacterium. Its description in RNAcentral is "bacterial SSU rRNA". It matches the Rfam family "Bacterial small subunit ribosomal RNA", at positions 28 to 774 of the family's 1533-position model. The record is from RNAcentral.